RNAcentral lists this ribosomal RNA (258 nucleotides) under uncultured bacterium. RNAcentral describes it as "partial 16S ribosomal RNA". It matches the Rfam family "Bacterial small subunit ribosomal RNA", at positions 793 to 1055 of the family's 1533-position model. The record is from RNAcentral.
GUCCACGCCGUAACGAUGAAUACUAGGUGUCGGGUGGCAAAGCCAUUCGGUGCCGUCGCAAACGCAGUAAGUAUUCCACCUGGGGAGUACGUUCGCAAGAAUGAACUCAAAGGAAUUGACGGGACCCGCACAAGCGGUGGAGCAUGUGGUUAAUUCGAAGCAACGCGAAGACCUUACCAAGUCUUGACAUCCGCCUGACCGAUCCUUAACCGGAUCUUUCCUUCGGGACAGGCGAGACAGGUGGUGCAUGGUUGUCGU